CGAGUUAUUCAACUCAUCAACCCUGUGAACAUACCUAAACGUUGCUUCGGCGGGAAUAGACGGCCCCGUGAAACGGGCCGCCCCCGCCAGAGGACCCUUAACUCUGUUUCUAUAAUGUUUCUUCUGAGUAAAACAAGCAAAUAAAUUAAAACUUUCAACAACGGAUCUCUUGGCUCUGGCAUCGAUGAAGAACGCAGCGAAAUGCGAUAAGUAAUGUGAAUUGCAGAAUUCAGUGAAUCAUCGAAUCUUUGAACGCACAUUGCGCCCGCCAGUAUUCUGGCGGGCAUGCCUGUUCGAGCGUCAUUACAACCCUCAGGCCCCCGGGCCUGGCGUUGGGGAUCGGCGGAGCCUCUCUGUGGGCACACGCCGUCCCCCAAAUACAGUGGCGGUCCCGCCGCAGCUUCCAUCGCGUAGUAGCUAACACCUCGCGACUGGAGAGCGGCGCGGCCACGCCGUAAAACACCCAACUCUU
This 472-nucleotide ribosomal RNA is filed under the name fungal sp. ARIZ L449. Its description in RNAcentral is "eukaryotic LSU rRNA". The stretch from base 150 to 303 matches the Rfam family "5.8S ribosomal RNA". The record is from RNAcentral. Lineage: Eukaryota; Fungi.